This 817-nucleotide ribosomal RNA is filed under the name Lithotrichon pulchrum. Its description in RNAcentral is "LSU rRNA". It matches the Rfam family "Bacterial large subunit ribosomal RNA", at positions 947 to 1684 of the family's 2925-position model. The record is from RNAcentral. Lineage: Eukaryota; Viridiplantae; Chlorophyta; Ulvophyceae; Ulvales; Kornmanniaceae.
CUAAGAAUACUAAACACCCGUUUCUAUCAACCAGUAAGACAGUGGGGGAUAAGCUUCAUUGUCAAAAGGGAAACAGCCCAGAUCACCAGCUAAGGCCCCAAAGUGGUUGCUAAGUGAUAAAGGAAGUGAACAUGCAAAGACAACCAGGAAAUUCGCUUAGAAGCAGCUAUUUUUUAAAGAGUGCGUAAUAGCUCACUGGUAGAGCAGGUUCGCGCCGAAAAUGAACGGGGCUAAGUAAUCCGCCGAAGCUGUGGGAUUCCAACGAUGCAUUAUUGGUAUAAAACCAAACGCAAUAAAUCGGUAGAGGAGCGUUCCGCUUUAGGGUGAAGCUAACACGUGAGUGGUGGUGGACGAAGCGGAAGUGAGAAUGUCGGCUUGAGUAACGAAAACAGUUUUGGUGAGAAUCCACUGCCCCGAAAACCUAAGGGUUCCUUUACAAGGCUCGUCCAUGGAGGGUUAGUCAGGUCCUAAGGCCAGGUCGAAAGGCGUAGUCGAUGGCAAACAGGUUAAUAUUCCUGUACUUAUUUUUUGUUGAUUCCGGGGGACGGAGUGGGAUAGUAGGUCAUUUUUCUACACGGAGUUCUUUAUGGGCUUGGUGUAGAGAGAAAAAUUUGAUUGAUUUCAUUUUGCUUGAAACGGAAGAAAAACCGUUUUAUAGGCCCGAGCAAAAAGUUGAUCUUUUUGAUCUUCUUUUCUGUAAGGAUGACUUCUCCGUCAUUGACGGCCAAAUCCAACUUCCUAGAAAAGCCCAGACCAUCGAUAACUUAAAAUAACCUGUACCCUAAACCGACACAGGUAGGUAGGUAGAGAAUACUAA